Non-coding RNA from Pelobates cultripes (western spadefoot toad), 1032 nucleotides. Lineage: Eukaryota; Metazoa; Chordata; Amphibia; Anura; Pelobatidae. The record is from the annotation of a GenBank genome assembly.
AUUCAGCCAUCUGAAAACAGAGACGUGGAUUGUCUGACGUGGAUCCGCAGUAAUAUAGCUAUACAAAUAGUGAGAUAUCUUCCUCAUGUUGUUGGGAGGCUUGGCAGGUAAUGUGAGAUUUCUAUAAUUCUCCUGUGACAUUUACUUUGAAGUUAUAGUAUGAUCCAACAAUACAGCACUCCGGAAUAUGUUGUUAUUUUAUCAUUAAUAAUAAUAAUCCCUUAAUUUGUUAUUUUACAGUGAAUGCUGCAAGGCAUAUGUAUGUAAUACUGUUUCAAUUUAAAUUAAAUCUAUUUUUUCUUUACAUUUAUUUUGACAUUUGCUUUUUUUUCUUCACCACAAUAACCGGCGUAAUUCUAGGCUGGAGGCGUCUGGCUGUCUAUAAUGAUGACUUCUUAGAUCACAAAGUAUGUGAUGUAAAGACUGAAAUCUCAAGGUCAUUCCCAAUGGUUUAGAUUAUUGGACAAUCUCAGUGAUUUCAAAGUGAAUUUAAUAUUUUACGCCACAACCGCCGAGAAAGGAUAAAAGUCCACAUUCCACAUUUUAGUGUAAAACACAGUCUUUGUUAUGCUAAUCCUGAUUCCGCACCCUUAAGCCUUAAAGUGGAAUCAUCAUCCCUGUAAAUCACACGACUAGAUAAAACAUUGAAAAUCACCUAUAACUUGUGUUAAACUUUUUUGUGAUACGCUGCUUUUCCUUUUAAAAUGUAUAUUAAAGAUUUAGGAGGAACGCCACAAUCCCGGCACAGUUGCGUACACCAGUGGUUUAUCCUGGUUUUGUGCUGCCCUAGGCGUACACAUUGAAAAUGAGGAGGACAAAUAGAAACAUAACGUUGUCUAAUUUCUUACCUUUGUCUUUGCUGAUUGACAGGUGCCAAUGACAGAACAGGGAGCCAAGAUGGAGGCAUCCAGUUGCAGAAUAAAAAGGUACGGAUUCAGAUGAGUUCCACAUUGAAAGAGCUCACAGAGCCCUGCGCCCCCCUAGAAGAAGCGGCCUGCCACGCGAUGUCAUUUGCUGCCUACUAUCCUUCCA